RNAcentral lists this small RNA (145 nucleotides) under insect gut metagenome. RNAcentral's name for it is "Enterobacterial sRNA STnc430". It matches the Rfam family "Enterobacterial sRNA STnc430", at positions 15 to 158 of the family's 162-position model. The record is from RNAcentral.
CUGCGUAUACUCCUAAAAUAGACCCUGAUAACUAUUGGGCUAUUUGGCCUUUUCAGAUAAAACUUAUAAUAGAAAUUUGCGUAAGGUAACGGACAACAAGAAUAGUCCGAUAAAAAAAUGCCGGCAUGGCGCCGGCAUCAUUUAU